GACGAACGCUGGCGGCGUGCCUAAUACAUGCAAGUAGAACGCUGAAGGAGGAGCUUGCUUCUCUGGAUGAGUUGCGAACGGGUGAGUAACGCGUAGGUAACCUGCCUGGUAGCGGGGGAUAACUAUUGGAAACGAUAGCUAAUACCGCAUAAUAGUAGAUGUUGCAUGACAUUUGCUUAAAAGGUGCAAUUGCAUCACUACCAGAUGGACCUGCGUUGUAUUAGCUAGUUGGUGAGGUAACGGCUCACCAAGGCAACGAUACAUAGCCGACCUGAGAGGGUGAUCGGCCAAACUGGGACUGAGACACGGCCCAGACUCCUACGGGAGGCAGCAGUAGGGAAUCUUCGGCAAUGGACGGAAGUCUGACCGAGCAACGCCGCGUGAGUGAAGAAGGUUUUCGGAUCGUAAAGCUCUGUUGUAAGAGAAGAACGAGUGUGAGAGUGGAAAGUUCACACUGUGACGGUAUCUUACCAGAAAGGGACGGCUAACUACGUG
RNAcentral lists this ribosomal RNA (495 nucleotides) under uncultured bacterium. RNAcentral describes it as "partial 16S ribosomal RNA". It matches the Rfam family "Bacterial small subunit ribosomal RNA", at positions 28 to 507 of the family's 1533-position model. The record is from RNAcentral.